GCCCGCUCAGAAACUUAAAGGAAGUUGACGGGGCCCGCACAAGCGGUGGAGUAUGUGGUUUAAUUCGAUGCAACGCGAAGAACCUUACCUGGUCUUGACAUCCCGGAGACCCUUAGGAAACUAGGGGGUGCUUCCAUCUGGAAGAAUCUGGAGACAGGUGCUGCAUGGCUGUCGUCAGCUCGUGUCGUGAGAUGUUGGGUUAAGUCCCGCAACGAGCGCAACCCUUGCCUUUAGUUGCCAGCAGUUCGGCUGGGCACUCUAAAGGGACUGCCGGUGUUAAACCGGAGGAAGGUGGGGAUGACGUCAAGUCCUCAUGGCCUUUAUGACCAGGGCUACACACGUACUACAAUGGCCGAUACAAAGGGCGGCGACACUGCGAGGUGAAGCCAAUCCCGUAAAAUCGGUCUCAGUCCGGAUUGGAGUCUGCAACUCGACUCCAUGAAGUUGGAAUCGCUAGUAAUCGUGGAUCAGCAUGCCACGGUGAAUACGUUCCCGGGCCUU
Molecule: ribosomal RNA, 501 nt
Filed under: uncultured Desulfobulbus sp.
Lineage: Bacteria; Pseudomonadati; Thermodesulfobacteriota; Desulfobulbia; Desulfobulbales; Desulfobulbaceae
Description: bacterial SSU rRNA
Rfam family: Bacterial small subunit ribosomal RNA
Source: RNAcentral